UUUUUUUUUUUAGGUUAACAAUGCAUUAUGGCAUAUAUCUAAUACUUGUUUAUCUAUAUUUGUUUUCCAUUGUCAGCUAAAUCAUAAUUCAAAUAAGUCAGCGUUCACUCAUUUAUCAGACACUGAAAAGGAACCCGUAUUUGUCACAUACUUCAAAUUUGUUAACUCAGCUUUGUUUAAUUGUAGCGGCAUGUGAUAGAAAGGAAGAUGGUGCCACAGUAAAAAUGUGCCAUGUGGUUUAACCAGAAGGCAGGAAGGAUGACGGAUGUCAAACAUCCGAGCAGCCUGACAGAAAGCCAGACAGACCAGCUGUCUCACUGCUGAAGAAGCUGUGGCCUUCAAGGACCCAAACAACACACCACACUCUCUCAGAGAACUGCUUUUCUAAUCUUGGCGAGUUCACUAAACGCUUGUCCGUGAAAGAUAAGUCCAUACCUUCUUUAUUUGGACCAACAAGCGUCUCCGAACCACAACCUAUGUAGCGCAAAACACGAGUAAAAAGUAGUCGAGGAGUACACCAAGAUGAUGCAGAGCCACCACACCAAUGUCACAGUCAGGAAGGGAUGCCAGAUGGCAAAGCAUCACGCAAUUGCUCAUGCAAAUGAGAUGUGUGUGUUUGAGGUAAAGGCACCUGCAGCCUUCAGAAAAGCAGUUUAAUGGAGGAAAGCAAAGAGGACAGCACAUUUUGUCUACAUUUUGUACACUCGUGCUAACUGUUGUAUGCGGAAACCGUUCCAGGUGGAUGACAUAGGACAUUGCCGUAGCACAAUGGAGGAUUUGUAAAGAAAAAUGUUGGAGGAUUUCGAUGUAAGCCAAGAGGAGACUGUUUUUCCUUUGCAAAAGUAAGAACAUUUUUUGCUUCCUUUGCUCCUGUGAACGUUUGUUCUCACAAGGAUACUAUACCAACAUCCUACAUCAUUCGACCAGAAUGGCUUCUGUGUACGACAGUUAGCGGAAGUUAGAGAAAACUAUUUAUGACUUUUAAAUAUGGCUAUUUGGCUAUAGGAGGCCUUUAUUCACCGUCUGGAGCCAAGUGAUGCACUGUUUUGGAUGAAUGUGUUUUAUUGGACUUGUUUUUGACUUUUGAAUGGUCCACUGCCAUUGUAAAGCUUGGAAGAGCCUAAACCUUUUUUUAAUAUAACUGUGAAUGGAUUUGUCUGAAAGAAGAAAGUCAUAUACACCUAGGAUGCCUUUGAGGGUGAGUAAACUAUGGGGUAAUUUUCAUUUUUGGGUAAACUAACUAACCGUUUAAUUUUAUUUAUAUAUAUAUAUAUAUAUAUUUUAUAUCUAUAUAUAAAAAAAAACUUGUAAAAUAUAUAAAUAUUAAAUAAAAAAUAUUUCUUAUAUAAAUCUGUAUAAAAACUUGUGUUGAAGUUUUAACUUAAAUGCAACAUAAAUACAAAUACACCUAAUUUUUCAUCAUUUGCACAUUUGGGUUUUAUUUUUCUUAAAAAGAGUUUUAUUAUGUAGUAUUUAGUAACUUAAAGAUUCAUAACAAUACUUAAUAAAUGAUACAGAGUUUAUUUAAAAAUGCAACAUUUAUCAGACUCGUAUUAAGAUAUUACAUAAAGAUUUUCGUAAAGAUCAUAAAAUAAAAAUGCCCAAAUGUUUAUUGUAUUUAUUAUUAAUUAUUAUAAAUUCUUAACCCUUUUUACAGUGCACUUUUAACCCCUUAGUUGUCACCCCUCAUUUUUGAACAUAGACAUUAAUGUGCACAGUAUACAAACUUAAAUUAUUAGAAUACAUGAAGGGAUGGACUCAAAAUUUUAAAGUAUCAAAAAGUUAUCAAAGUUUAAAUUUACUGUAAAGAGAAUGCACUGUACCAAUUUUAUUUUUUUUUAUAAAUAAAUAUUUCGCAAAAUAUUUUUGAAUCCAAAAUUGCUGUACAUUUAAAGCCUUAUGUCUAAAUAAGUUAUGUUGCAGUGUGGUUUUUAUUUAGAAUGUUAUACCACAAACAGCCACCGGGUGCCAUCAAAACUCCAUUGCCCUCCAAUGCGUUUUUAACCUAAAUCACAGCAGAAGUCCAUCUGUGAAAGAUGUAGACUGUUAAAACAUAUGCAAGCCAAUCAUAGCAGUGGGCGUUUACUUCCCAGUCCACAAUCUAACACGCCUAUUUAAACAGAGUGUUCUGAUGAAGGUGGUCAAAACCAGGACAGAAAAUAGCUUAUUACUAAAAAAAUGUUGAUUUUGAUUUUGAUUUAAAAAAUCUUGAUAACAUUAUAAGUGGACCUCAGAGAACAGUAUAAAAAAAAAACAAAAAAAAAACAGAGGCAGUUCAUGACCCCUUCAAGCAAUUGCUUCCUGCUAUUGCUGACUAAUAAGCCCCAGGCUGCCAGGAUCCACAGUACCACUUCCUACAUCAUUAUUUUCGUUAUUAUCGGUGUGCUCAGUUAAAUUAUAGAAAGGAAUACUUUUAUUUAGCAAGGAUGCUUUAAAUUGUUCAAAAGUGAUAAUAAAGACAUUUUAUAAUGUUACAAAAGAUUUCUAUUUCAGAUAAAUGCUGUUCUUUGGAACUUUCUGUUUAUCAAAGAAACCUUAAAAAAUUUUACUGAUAGAAUGAUUUCUGAAGGAUCAUGUGACUGGAGUAAUGAUGCUAAAAAUUCAGCUUUGAAAUCACAGGAAUAAAUUACAUUUUAAAAUAUAUUCAAAUAAAAAGCAGCUAUUUUAAAUAGUAAAAAUAUUUCUAAAUUUUAGUGUUUUUGUUGUACUUCGGAUCAAAUAAAUGCAGGCUUGGUGAGCAGAAGAGGCUUCUUUAAAAACAUUAAACAUUGUACUGUUCAAAAACUUAUGACUGGUAGUGUAUAAUGUUACACAUAAAGGUACAUCAUAAAUGCCAUAAAUGCCUUUAAUAUCAUUUCAUAUAUUCAAACUUAAAUGCAUUUCGAGUUAUAAUUGUAAUUUCAUUACCAGCAGUAACUUCUGCAUGCUGUAUUGUUGUGCAUGUGACCUUCAUCUUUGGCAUUUCAGUCUGCAUGUGAUGAACUUUACACAGAAAUAUACCUACGUGGAUGUACCAGAUGAUGACAAUUCAGUUCUAAUAUUGUUUCCAUACAGGAACAAAACUGAAUAAACUCUUCCCACAUCCUCUUGUCAUCAGCUCCUGAGAUGAAAUGUCAUUACACUUCAUACCUUUUAAAUGUUGUUCUAAUGAAAUUCUCCAGAACAUAAACUGGUUUCAUUUGGGCAUUUAGA
Molecule: long non-coding RNA, 3192 nt
Organism: Labeo rohita (rohu)
Lineage: Eukaryota; Metazoa; Chordata; Actinopteri; Cypriniformes; Cyprinidae
Exons: 3
Source: RefSeq, a predicted model, not a curated record